Long non-coding RNA from Equus caballus (horse), 404 nucleotides. RefSeq lists it as uncharacterized. The record is from RefSeq and is a predicted model, not a curated record. Lineage: Eukaryota; Metazoa; Chordata; Mammalia; Perissodactyla; Equidae.
GCUCCCUGCCUGUGCCUCCAAGACUGUCCCUUAGACAGGCGACCUCUGGUCAUCAGUGGUGAGCGGUGAGCUGGAGGGGGCUCGGGGCCUUUCAGGGAUAAGGACACCUCACAGAGCUACAGAACCAAGCCACCGCUGGGAGCAACAAGGAGGUGGGCCCAGCCAGGAAUGAGAGAGAAAGAAAAAGAAAGAGGAAAAAAAGCUGACUCCCUUCCAAGAAGGCCCGGCCCGAGUCCUGGCUGACCACGUUCCAGACGCGGCGGCCUGGCCUGGGACAUGCUGGCCAGUUACCCAGCCUUCCUUGAGGUCCAGGCAGCAUCAGUACAGAUGGCUGUAUCCACGGUCACCCCUUCCCCCCAUCACUGCCCACUCCUACUCUGAAAAAUAAAAGUCAGAAAGCCUCA